GAAUAUAUAUCUCUUCAAUGGAUGUCCUUGAAAUGUUAUAGCAGAUAUGAAACCAUGACUGUAUGUCUUCUCACGUAAUUUCAAAAAAUUGGGAUUUCAAUUUCGGCUUUCAUUUUGACAUUAUAGCUUUUAUUGGUUGAUGUUAUUCUAUGGAUAUAUAAAGAAAAAGUUAUUGAGUUGGCCAUCGCUUAAUAUUAUCAUUGCCAUGGAAACGUUCUUUUGUAAGUAGCCAUUUUUAAAAUUGCCUGAAAUAUAUUCACAAGAACACAAGAUUUGUGUUUUUGAAGCUAUCAUUUGAAAUAUUACAAUGGUUGAUCUCCAGCCAGUAGUAAAGAGUUGUGGCUAUAACGUCUGCAAAGAGAGUUCUUUCACAAGAAUAUUGAGUUUAACCAGAUGAUUUCGAAUAAAAUUGUGGAGCGGCAAUUCCUAAUAAUAGCUCAUGGGCUGUUGUCGUGUCACGCUUUUUGCGAAAAAUGCCGGUCAAGAGUAUCUGCGGACUUUGAAAUCUUUUUAGAUGCCGCUAUUAUUUAAAAUGUAAGUAACUUACGAACUUUUAUAACUUGAAAUAUUGUUCUUUCGGAAAAGUUCGCUUGUUUUUUUUUUCAAUUCAUUUGCAGAUUACAAUGGUUGAUCUCCUGCCAGUAGUAAAGAGUUCUGGCUAUAACGUUUGCAAAGAGAGUUCUUUCACGAAUAUUGAGUUUAACCAGAUGAUUUUGAAUAAAGUUGUGGGGCGGCAAUUCCUUAUAGCUCAUGGGCUGUUGUCGUGUCACGCUUUUUGCGAAAAAUGCCGGUCAAGAGUAUCUGCGGACUUUGAAAUCUUUUUAGAUGCCGUAAAGUGAUUUUUAAGCCAGAGCAUCUUUUGACAUAAGCCGACUCAACAAGGAUUGGAAGUUGGUUUCAAUGUCGUCACCAAUUGCAAGAAAAUGAUUGAAGUGGUUGGGAGACAGUGAAGAAAUGCAAAAAAAUUUCAUAUCUGCUAGACGUAACAAUAAAAGAAAUUUC
This is a long non-coding RNA of Harmonia axyridis, 1002 nucleotides long. RefSeq lists it as uncharacterized. The transcript has 3 exons. NCBI's taxonomy places the organism in Eukaryota, Metazoa, Arthropoda, Insecta, Coleoptera, Coccinellidae. The record is from RefSeq and is a predicted model, not a curated record.